This 72-nucleotide transfer RNA is filed under the name Streptococcus pneumoniae. RNAcentral describes it as "tRNA-Gly(gcc)". It matches the Rfam family "tRNA". Rfam says of the family: Transfer RNA (tRNA) molecules are approximately 80 nucleotides in length. Their secondary structure includes four short double-helical elements and three loops (D, anti-codon, and T loops). The record is from RNAcentral. Lineage: Bacteria; Bacillati; Bacillota; Bacilli; Lactobacillales; Streptococcaceae.
GCGAACGUAGUUCAGUGGUAGAACACCACCUUGCCAAGGUGGGGGUCGCGGGUCCGAAUCCCGUCGUUCGCU